UACGUAGGUCCCGAGCGUUGUCCGGAUUUAUUGGGCGUAAAGCGAGCGCAGGCGGUUAGAUAAGUCUGAAGUUAAAGGCUGUGGCUUAACCAUAGUACGCUUUGGAAACUGUUUAACUUGAGUGCAAGAGGGGAGAGUGGAAUUCCAUGUGUAGCGGUGAAAUGCGUAGAUAUAUGGAGGAACACCGGUGGCGAAGGCGGCUCUCUGGAUUGUAACUGACGCUGAGGCGCGAAAGCGUGGGGAGCAAACAGG
This 252-nucleotide ribosomal RNA is filed under the name uncultured bacterium. Its description in RNAcentral is "partial 16S ribosomal RNA". It matches the Rfam family "Bacterial small subunit ribosomal RNA", at positions 524 to 776 of the family's 1533-position model. The record is from RNAcentral.